This is a long non-coding RNA of Mastomys coucha (southern multimammate mouse), 572 nucleotides long. RefSeq lists it as uncharacterized. The transcript is spliced from 5 exons. NCBI's taxonomy places the organism in Eukaryota, Metazoa, Chordata, Mammalia, Rodentia, Muridae. The record is from RefSeq and is a predicted model, not a curated record.
UCUGCAUGGAAGCUCCUAGAAACACAACAUAUCUUAAAUAAAGAUUCUUGCUCUCUGCACUCUCAACUGAAUCUCCAUACAAAGUCCCAGGCUAACUGCCAGCCCUGCCAGCCAUGCAUUGGAGAAGGCUUGACUGCAAGCCAACGCUGCAGAUCACCUAUCAAUUUCAUGGCAAGAUCACAAGUGGAGGGAUUGGAAUACUAAUCAUCAUCAUCAGACUUUAUCCAGCAACUGAUAGGAGCAGAUGCUGAGUCCCAUAGACGAAUAUUAGGCUGAGCAUGAGGAGUCUUGAGGAGAAAAGGAAGGGAUUAUUGGAGAAGCCAGAGGGAUCAAAACGCCACAAGAACAUGGUCCACCGAAUCAAUCAGCUACAUACCAUUUCUGAAGUAACAAAACAAGGCAAAUAUGAACCAGUGCUUGCCAAGACUUGGGAAUGUAAAUGGAGGAAGCUGGAGAAGAGGAGGGGCUAAUCUAUAGAUGACAACUAGAUGGAUACCUAAGAGUAACUUCAGUUGAUCUGUUUGAAGUUUGCUGAUUCUUUUUCUGUCUCUUCAAACCCACUACUGAAGAGC